GAGAGAGAGAGAGAGAGAGAGAGAGUGAGUGAGAGAUGCAGAGAGAGAGAGAGAGGAUGAGUGAGAGAUGCAGAGAGAGAGAGAGAGAGUGAGUGAGAGAUGCAGAGAGAGAGAGAGAGUGAGUGAGAGAUGCAGAGAGAGAGAGAGAGUGAGUGAGAGAUGCAGAGAGAGAGAGAGAGUGAGUGAGAGAUGCAGAGAGAGAGAGAGUGAGUGAGAGAUGCAGAGAGAGAGAGAGAGUGAGUGAGAGAUGCAGAGAGAGAGAGAGUGAGUGAGAGAUGCAGAGAGAGAGAGAGUGAGUGAGAGAUGCAGAGAGAGAGAGUGAGUGAGAGA
Molecule: long non-coding RNA, 330 nt
Filed under: Salmo salar (Atlantic salmon)
Lineage: Eukaryota; Metazoa; Chordata; Actinopteri; Salmoniformes; Salmonidae
Description: lncRNA (ENSSSAG00000106189.1)
Source: RNAcentral